GACGAACCGAGCGAACGUUGUUCGGAAUCACUGGGCGUAAAGGGCGCGUAGGCGGCGGUUCAAGUCGGGGGUGAAAGCCUGUGGCUCAACCACAGAAUGGCCUUCGAUACUGGACGGCUCGAGACCGGAAGAGGUCAGUGGAACUGCGAGUGUAGAGGUGAAAUUCGUAGAUAUUCGCAAGAACACCAGUGGCGAAGGCGGCUGACUGGUCCGGUUCUGACGCUGAGGCGCGAAAGCGUGGGGAGCAAACAGG
Molecule: ribosomal RNA, 253 nt
Filed under: uncultured bacterium
Lineage: Bacteria
Description: partial 16S ribosomal RNA
Rfam family: Bacterial small subunit ribosomal RNA
Source: RNAcentral